This is a long non-coding RNA of Oncorhynchus tshawytscha (Chinook salmon), 2255 nucleotides long. The record is from Ensembl. NCBI's taxonomy places the organism in Eukaryota, Metazoa, Chordata, Actinopteri, Salmoniformes, Salmonidae.
GGCACGGAGGAGAGCCACAAUGGAUAAACUAACGGGCCACGGGAGGACCGCGCUUUGAUUUAUAAUCCGUCGAGAGAUACCAUCUCGUAUGCCAUCCACGAGAGACAAGUGAAAUAACGGUUAAGGGAUCUCACAACCUCGGAAAUAAACCACCAAUUCGACAUGGAUCGGUUUGAGCAUCGACAGCGCCUUUUAGAAACUGGCUGCCUCCACCUGCUUCGAAGGCGGAUUUUGGAUAAGAAGCGUUUAUCGUUUUCUGUACUGUCCUCUCUUCAUAGGUACAUCAUCUGAUUUCAUUUCCUCGGUAAAAACCUAUUCUAUAGGCUAGCCAUAUGCUUCUCAUCCUAUACCGGAACCCUUACUGCUGCCUUCCACGCGGGUGCGCCUCCCUCCGUUGGAUGGCAAAAGAACCAGGAAAAAUGUCCUCGCAUUGAAAAGUGGAACCCAUACGAUACUCUGGCAGUAUGUACGAGAAGGAGUCGGUUGCUAUCUUUGGUUAUCUAGCUGUAUGAGUGUUACUCGGCCGUCAUAAAGCUAGCUAACCGAAAGUAGGAAUGUCCUCCAAACCUGCGACUCGGACAGGAAUAAAUGGUGUCUGGGAGUAAAGACACAAAAUAACAUAAUUGAUAUGCAAUUACAGGCCAAUACCUCAGUGCCUUUCCGGUUGAUCCAGUGCCCUUGUCACUGCAGUGGCUGCCUGAGAUACACACAGAAACUCUGCAGUGUGAACAGCACACGCUGUCUACUAUAUGUGACUGCCAGCCAUUCACACCAGGUCUGGAUUGAGCGAGGGAAAAGUGGCACAGUCGUCACAAAAAAGGAGAAAGCAGGAGGGGAAGAAAAAGGCCAACCCCCUUGUCCCUCUUCCCUUAAAUCUCCAUCACCGGAAGCCUUUGGUGCCAUCUGUGCCCCCGGAGAAAAGGACGGACGAGAUGCCUCCACCCUGUGCCAACGGGGACAAAGGAGCUGCCAGUUAGAGCGGCCCCCCUCGCAGGCAACCAGAGGACUCUGUGUGACUGACUGGGGCUGAGCUACGGAAGCCAUCUUGAUGGAGAGUCUUGCUGCUGCUCCUAAAAUGGCUGUGUUGGCAUGAGGUCCUGCUGGUGUUGACAACCUCCAGAGGAAGCCUCUUCCAUCAGCCCUGAGCCCUGAGCCCUGGGCCCUGGCAGUCGGUUUAGACGCACCAGCGGGAAUAGCAUGUCAGAUCCCAGGAUGUCACGCAAGGCCUUCCUCAUUGGCAUCCUCUCCAGUCAAACACUGAGAAAUUAGGGCACUGAAGAAUCCCCCCUAAAAUUAAUGCUUGGAGAGAUUUACUGUAAGGACAAUGUUUGGAGUUAUUAGAAGAAAUUGUUUGCAGAAGUUGCACACGGAUUAUCUGCAGAGAUAUUGCACUUGGGUAAUGAAUGUUCUCUUUUCCCUGGCUGAGAGUGUAUAGUUUCAAUAUAACUUUUAACAUUACAGCAGAAUGUAAGACAAUGUGUGUAUGAUGUGAAAUCAAAAGGGAUGAGAUCAACAUGUGUUCAUACCUUAAUCUAAGUGUGUGUGUGUGUGGUCCGUGUGCGCGUGUGAGUGUGUGUGUGUGUGGUUUGGUCCCUAUUGUACUAUUUAGAGUACUCUGGAGUGUACUGGGCUUCAGAGAAGCACUACAGUGCCCUAAUGUGUGGGCUGCUUACAAGAGAAGCUCUCUGGAUGUCUAUCCUCUGUCAUGUGCAAUUAGUUACUUUAUGAAUAGAACUGACUACUCUAUGCAAAUAAAUGUGAAUGACUCACCCUCUGGCUGUAUUGCAAAUGUUGUUUAAUGUUUGACUGACACAGUGAAAAGAAAGACAUUGUUUGGUGAAGAUUCCAUCCAUUUACUGUAUAUCCAUCAAAUGCUGCGUUUUUCCAAUUACAAAUAUUAUCUGCAUGUGUUCAUAGUGAUCAGGGAAUGUUCUACAUGAAAUGUGUUGGAUACAGUAUUGAAGCAGUCAGAUUAAUAGCCGUCUCAUUGCCUGAUUGUUAUUAUUAUCCUUAUUCAGAGAGAUAGACAGUUUUGAACAUACCUGCAAUAAAGAAAGGGACACAUACUUGUACACUAAAGUCAUACAAAACAUGUUUUUGUAAUUGAGUUCUGACUUGUCAUAACUUCUGUGCUGUUUGAAUUGAAUGUGUAUACAGAAUAAAUAAUUCAACAGAUGUCUAAAAGAUUCUAGUGUUUUUUAUUGCAAAUACAGAAAUGAUUGAUAUUGAAGUUUAUAUGUCUGCAUUUAGACAGG